UACGGAGGAUGCGAGCGUUAUCCGGAUUUAUUGGGUUUAAAGGGUGCGCAGGCGGCCUGUUAAGUCAGCGGUGAAAGUCCGCGGCUCAACCGUGGAAUUGCAGUUGAAACUGGAGGCCUUGAGUGCACACAGGGGUGCCGGAAUUCAUGGCGUAGCGGUGAAAUGCUUAGAUAUCAUGAAGAACUCCGAUCGCGAAGGCAGCUUACUAAGCCAUAACUGACACUGAAGCACGAAAGCGUGGGGAUCAAACAGG
RNAcentral lists this ribosomal RNA (253 nucleotides) under uncultured bacterium. Its description in RNAcentral is "partial 16S ribosomal RNA". It matches the Rfam family "Bacterial small subunit ribosomal RNA", at positions 524 to 776 of the family's 1533-position model. The record is from RNAcentral.